GUGAACCCUCUCCGCUGCUGAAACUUUUAUGCAACUUACUGAGUGUUAUUUGGAUUCUUUGUGAAGUGGCCACUUUGACUCAUCCCUGGAAUCUGAGGACUUUGACUAAACAAAGUAAGGGUAAUGUUCAGGCAGUACCUGCAGAGAGUCCACCCCCUUCCGCUGAGACUUUAACCUGGACCCAGGCAAAUGACUUAUGAAAGAGGCAGUCAUCCUACUCAUUUAGGUGGUGAGCUGACAGUCCCCCUGGGGAUGUUACCAUGACAACAGCAAGUCUUUAGCAAGAGCCAGCCCUUGCCCUACUGGGUAGAAUCAGAGGUGCUCACUGUCAGUCGCCAAACAGUGCCACUGUCAACUUUCAGCAUCACCUCAAGUGCACAGACCAACACUGGUUACACUCCAAGGCCCAGAACUCAGGUUCUUGUGCCUUCGGAUCGAGAUGUUUUUGACUCACCCGGGCUACACUAAGCCUGAAGCAGCUGUGCAGUGUGCAGGGCAGGACGGUGUUGCCUUCAUUACAAAUGGUGCAGCAUUGGAUUUUCAAGUACAUCAUCUAUCAAUUUAUUUCAGAAAAUAAAGGGGGAAUUACAAAAUAUUUGUUUCAAGGAGCUGAACUGUGCACCAUCAACAGAUGAAUGGACAGAGAGAACAGGAGAGGUUAUCACACUGGCUCAUACUGCAAGGCUGUGGAUACCUCCUCAGAGGCCCUGGGGAAAUGAAGGUUCAGGAGUCUGAUGGCCAGACUCCACCUACCUGGCUAAAUAGCCAUCAGGAUGGCGGUCUGUUGGGGAGUUCAUGUCCUUGGACGAAGACUUGUCUUCAGUGACUGGCCCACUGCUGGCCUCGCUAUCGGCUUUCUGGCUCAGAGUGUCAGAAAAUGUAUCAUCCCUGAAACAACGAGAAUCAAGAGUGAGGGUCUCCUGCUAGAUGAAUGGAGACAAAAGAAAGCAAAUUCUGGAUAUUACCUACUCAAAAGACCAGAUUCAAAAAUGAUGUCUUCUGGAGAUCAAAAGAUAAUCAAAGGAGUAAUGGUAAGACCCACGGACAGAUGGUCCAGUGAUGAGACUGACGUUUGGGAAGAAAGGUUGGGGCUUUGUCUUGGGCUUUUCCUGCCACUGGGGAAAGCAAGGAAACACUCAGAGAAGCCAUCAGUGAAAAAGGAAUGAAUCACAGAGAAACAAAGAAACUCAAGACGAAAGAACAGACAGUGGCAGAGGUAUAGGGCUCAGAGACUCUCCAUAGCAACACCACAGAAACAGAAGCUCUCACUUUAAAGAAUUUCUUCUAACUGGAAUUCUGAAAAUGGCAAUUUAUCUUCCUUUGAAAAACACAAACUUUCUUGUUUUUCCAAAGCAGAGGGUGGCCCCUAGACACCCUGAUAACCCUCCUGCUGAAAUCAACUAAAGUGCUAGAUUUGAAAAAAAAAAUCUUUCUUAUCACAUUAAUAAGCUAUCAUGAUGGUAAGGAAUACUGUCAUGACAGGACUUCUAAAGACCAAAAACUCAGUGAAUGGGAACCUAGCCAGGUCAACGGAACACGAGAAAAUAUAAGUCAGAGUUUGCCUGGAGGGCAUUUUCCCCUGCCUAGUUAAUAUGGCUUUAUUUUGCACAAAAGCCUAGGCCCAUGGCCUGCUCAGUGUAGACAAUCCAAGCCCCACCAAAGGAUCACACUCCUUAAGUGUCACGGUGAACUUCUAGUUCUAGAAAUCAUCCUCCCUUCUCACCUUCCAUACUUCUCCGUAAACGUAACCACUUCAGCCCUCGACUUAGGGAAAUGGUCUUCCUCAAACCUUGGAACAAACCCUCUCAGAGAAUCCCAACCACAUUCCAGUCCUCAGGCAGGCUGGUGGUUUAAGUUCACACCACCUGAGUGGCCUGGAAAACCUCAGACUAAAAAUCCAGUGUGGUCCCAAAGCUGGUUAUGCCUCAGGCAGAAGUAAAUGAAAACUCUGGAGGAACAUACCUGCAACUGAGCCCAAAGGAAUUCCAUAAAGUUCUAAGAAAUAUGUAAAAAAUGUAUAAAACACACUGGAAAUAAGACUCAAGAGCAAAAGCCAACAAAAAUAAAUUCAGGAAGACUGCAGCUAUUAGAAGGAUUAGACACAUAAUCUGAAACAAUGGAAAGGAGUAAUAUUAUGAGUAAAGAGCAAAAGACCAUAAAAAACUGACCAAAUAGAUACGAGAGUGAACUGAACAGAACCUGCAGAAACAGAAAUUAAAAAUAAAAACUCAGUGAAUGGGUUUAAAGCAAAUUAGUCACAGUUAAAGAGGGAAUAAAAGGAUUAUGCGUACAGUUAAAGAGGUACUAAGAAAAAACUACUGACUUUAUAUGUUCAUAUUUAAAAAGUGUUUUAAUGUUAAACAUUAAACUUAAGUCAGAAAAAGAAAGAAAAGUGGCCUCUACAGAAAGAAGUAUAAACAUUUAUUGGGAGACGCUGAAUAACUAGAAAUAUGUUUUGUGGAUUAGAAGACUGAAUAUUAUAAAAAUAUCAAUUAUUUCCAUAUCAGUAUAUGCAGAACUGUGAUCAAAACCUCAAAGGUUUUUAGGUUGUUUGUUUGAAGAACUUGAAAAACUGAGUUUUGCCAAAUAUUGCCAAGCUAUUAAAAUUAAGACAGUGGUGUAGACAGGCAAGUAGACCAGUGGAAAAAUAAUAGAGCCCAGAAACAGACUUAUGCAUAGAAGACACCUGAUUGAUCAUAAAGGUGUGGAGCAGUAGAGAAAAGACAAUUAAUGCUGGGAUAGGGGACAACUGUGCAUCCACACGGAGACAGAAGGAACAGAUCCCUACCUCACACCAUACCUCCAGAUAAAUUCCUGGUAGAAUUAAGACCUAUGGGUGAAAAGAAAACCUGAAAGGAUUUAGAAAAGAAUACGGGAGAAUUUCUUCAUUACCUCACGGCACAGAAGGAUUUCUUAAAAGGGACACAAAGUGAAACCACCAUGAAGGAGAAGAUUGGGAAAUCCAACUCCUUUAAAAUUAAGACCCCCUGUUUGGCAAAAGACAUAACAAGCACAUAAAAGACAAGCUACAGAGCAGAAGAUAUUUGCAAAUCAUGUACCUAAAGAAGACCUGAUCCAGACCCACAAAGAAUUCUUAUAAAUAAGAAAAAACCGAAGCCAAACCAAACUGAACUAAACCAAGCAAAAAGAGCCCAAAGAAACUAACAGUGGGCAAAUAGGCCCUAAAUGGGCAGAAGACUUGAUAGAAAUUUCACAAAAUAAGACAUCUAAACAUACAAAAAUCAGUGUAUCUGCAUUCACCAUGCUUUUCACUUUCUGGAGUCUGACCUCCCAGGGUUAGCCAUAUUCCCAGGAACAGUAAACAGCUCACCUGCAAUGUGCUUUUCAAACAAACCAACCAAUCCAGAGCCCAUGCCCCAAUCACCUCCUCUCUGGCUCUCACCCUUUGGGCCACUACUCAGUUGCUUCGGGGCCAGGAACCAGACAACCAGAGACAGCCCCGGUGCCCCCAGAGGCCCUGAAAUUAGUCAAGCUCGGCCAUCCUAACCCGCUCACCCUGCCUCGCCUGUUCUUUCCUGUGGAAACCACAACACAAGCGCCUGCCCAGCUGUUCCCUCUCCCUCUGCCUUCUGACUGAGCCUGAUGCUUCCCCCUGGCCCUCUGAAACCUGACGUGCCCCCUCCUCUAAGGAACUGAGAGCAACAAAUUAUCUUUUCAAUGGCAAUCAUCUCCUGAUCUGGUGGCCUUACCAGACCCCAAAUUUUCUAUCAAUACACUAUAUUUUAAACAACAUCUUCAUCAGUAAUCAGAGAAAUGCAAAUUAAAAUCAUAACGAGAUGCCAUUACACACUGACGAUACUGGCAAAGAUGACAAUAUUUGAUAAAAUCAAGGGUUGUUGAAUACACACAACUGAAACACAGCAGGCUGAGACACUGCUGGUGGGAGUGGGGAUCAUUACAACCAUUGUCAAAAAUAGUUCAGUAUGUAGUAAAGUUGAAGACAUGCUUACUCCUAGGUGUAUAUACCCUAGAGAAACUCCCGUAUACUUGCAGUAGGAUACAUGUUCAAAAUAUUGAUAGCUGCACUGUUUUUAAUGGCAAAAAAACAGAAAACACCUCACACAUUCAUCAAUAAUCAAAUAAAGACAAUGGAAUAUUAUACAGUGGUAAAAAUGACUGCAACAAUGUGGUUGAAUCUCAGGAACGUAAUAUGGCAUAGAAAAAAUCAUGGAAAAUAUAUACAGUAGCAGAAAGUUCAAGAAAAUAGAAAAUGAAGUAGUAAACCAUUUAAAUGCACAAACACAAGUGGUUACCUCUCAGUGGGUGAAGAAGGCAGUAGGACCAGGGAUGUGCAAAGGUAACGAUGUCUUUUUCUUAAAGGUGGUGGUUCCACAGGUGUUCAUUGUAAUAAUAGUCUUCAUACUUUACACAUAUUUAGUAAAUAUUCUUUUGUAUUCUCAAUAUAAGCAAUUCUUUACAAAUGGUUAUAAAGACCAGUCUGAUAACAGCACGAGCACAAGUACAUACCGUCUUCACUGGUGUGGGGCUCUGUACCAGCAUCCUGAUCCACUUCCUCCAGCGUACCGUGUUCACUGUAUGGGCUGUCGCUGGG
Long non-coding RNA from Vicugna pacos (alpaca), 4573 nucleotides. RefSeq lists it as uncharacterized. The record is from RefSeq and is a predicted model, not a curated record. NCBI's taxonomy places the organism in Eukaryota, Metazoa, Chordata, Mammalia, Artiodactyla, Camelidae.